GACGAACGCUAGCUACAGGCUUAACACAUGCAAGUCGAGGGCCCGGCGCACGGGUGAGUAACACGUAUCCAACCCCCCCUUUACUCGGGGAUAGCCUUUCGAAAGAAAGAUUAAUACCCGAUAUAAAGGAUGGGGAUGGGUUCCAUUAGGUUGUUGGUGAGGUAACGGCUCACCAAGCAUUCGAUGCGUAGGGGUUCUGAGAGGAAGGUCCCCCACAUUGGAACUGCGACACGGUCCAAACUCCUACGUGAAGCAGCAGUGAGGAAUAGUGUUCAAUGGGCGCUAGCCUGAACCUGCCAAGUAGCGUGAAGGAUGAAGGCUUAUGGGUCGUAAACUUCUUUUAUAUAAGAAGAUGUAUUAUAUGAAUAAGGAUCGGCUAACUCCGUGCCAGCAGCCGCGGUAAUUC
Molecule: ribosomal RNA, 406 nt
Filed under: uncultured bacterium
Lineage: Bacteria
Description: partial 16S ribosomal RNA
Rfam family: Bacterial small subunit ribosomal RNA
Source: RNAcentral